This is a long non-coding RNA of Vitis vinifera (wine grape), 10970 nucleotides long. RefSeq lists it as uncharacterized. The transcript is spliced from 2 exons. NCBI's taxonomy places the organism in Eukaryota, Viridiplantae, Streptophyta, Magnoliopsida, Vitales, Vitaceae. The record is from RefSeq and is a predicted model, not a curated record.
CUGUGAAGGGCCAAGGGCCAUAGGAGAGAUCAAGGAUAGAUGCACUAUUACUUUGAGAUGAAAGGAUCAUCACGAACCAAAAAAAGAACCAAAGGAUAGGAAAAAAAGAAGCCCACAAGUUCUUGAAAUCCCUAGCAUCUCCCCUGGGGUAAGCUCUUCAGUGUGAAAUCCAAUUUAUUUUAUUUUCUCUAUUUCUUUUCCUCUUUCAUUUGCUAUCAUUAAGAUUUGUUACUAUUAAUUUUGGGUGUUUCAUAAAUCUCCCUGACUCUUGAUCCCAUUGUUCCUUCUUUGUUUGUGUUCAAGGAUCCUUCAAUUCUUCUUUGUGAUAUUUGAAAACCCUUUUAUUCCACUUGCAUUUAAGCCCACCAAUUUAGACAUGAAGUGUGCCUUUUUUAUAGUUCUUAUUUUCUUCAUUUAUGUUCUUUCUUUCCUUUUUUUUUUCUUUUUUUGCCAUUUUCUUCUUGCUCUUGGUGUUUGCACAUUCUUGGGUGUGGGACUACACACUUGGACGUGAAGCCAUGGGAUGAUGAGACUGACAUGAAAGAGCUUGAGGCAACAUUAAUCAAAUCAAGAUUCGUGGCAAGACUGUGGCUACUGUAUUGAGUCAGAUGUUUUCCAUAUGGGUUUGGUUCUCCAUCCUGAAUUUGCAAUAUUAAGUAUUUUGGAUAUCUGGGUUUGUUUCUGUUUCUGCAUUGAUGAUAUGUUGUGAGCAUGGUGGGUUUGUGAUGAAGGAAAUGUGUAUCACUAGGGAAUUUUAAUCUUCAUAGAAUUACCACCAGCUAUAGUGGACUAGGACAUGGUGAUAAAGAACCCAGGCUAGUUCCAUAGUCUAUAAUUGCGUUGAUCAAUGAUAUUUUUUUCCAGUGGUUCAGUCAUCAGUAGUCACAGCCGCUAGAAAAGGGAGGCUUUCACAGGGGGGACUGGUAGCAUGCAUUGAGAACAAGAGAGAGAAAGGAAGAAUUUUUCAUUACUUUGGGUGAGAAGAAAAAAAACUCGUGUCCACUGGUCUUUGGUGGGUUUUGGAGAAAGAGAACCGAUCUCACUUGAAGCCGAGGAAUACUCCUCAAAGGUAGGUUCUUCCAGGCAACAAUUUAGCAAGGACAAUGGACACCCUAGAGAAAGACUCUGUGUUUCAUCCAACAAAAUUUGAUUCAGAAACGUCCUUAUAACAACCAGAAAUUGAUUCUGAAACCGAAGUAGUUGUGAGUGGCUUUCUCGAGACGUCGUUCCUAAUUCCUGAAAGCAUUUCAGAUCAGUAUGAGACUUCAGGAUGGAAAUUAAAGAACUUCCCAUGACUGCCAGAUUCAGUACUUUAUUUGAACAGAGUGGUGUCUCUUGAGUUCUGGUAUCAUGGCUCUAUGAUAUGUUUCUCGUCAAGUACAAAUCCUUAGGUUAUAUUGAAUAAAGUUCUUGUUUGUGUGAUCCUUUAAUAGAGAUGUGUUGUAAGUGUUUUUGUCUUUAUUCUUCUCGGAAUUUGUGGGUUGAUAUGGAGGUUGAUGAGGCUCCUUGGAAUUCAAUCAUUUCAAGGUAUGUGCAUUGAGGAGAGGUUGAGGAGCACGGGAGUUGUUUGAAGAAAUGGCAAUGAGAAGGAAUGUGGUUUGCCGGACUGCAAUGAUAAAUGUGUAUGGGAAAGAAAAGAAUUUUGUUGGAGAUGUUGAGUUUGUUUUUCAGAUGCUUGUUUCGGCUGAUGAGGUCCAGCUCAAUGCGACAACAAUGGGAUGUGGAGAAAGCUUGGAGAAUCUUUGAUGGUGUUUCUUAUAAGAAGCUGCCUCCUUGGAAUGCCAUCAUUACUGGAUAUAUGUAGCAUGGACUUUUUGAGGAAGCAAUAGAUUUACACUGUCUCAUGAAAGUAGUCUGUGAAACCGAAUGAGAUCACACUGGUGAAUGUGUUGUCUGCUUGUGCUGGCUUAAGGGCACUGUAACUUGGGAGAGAAGUUCACCUGUACCUGGGUCUAAACGGGUUAGAGCUAAAUGUGAUUCUUGUCACUGUUGUGGUUUAUAUGUAAGCAAAACGUGGUAAAAUCGAUAAUGCUUGUUUGGUUUCUAUCAAGACGAGCGAGAAAGAUGUAGCCUUGUGGAAUGCCAUGAUACUGGUACUAGUUUACCAUGGUGAUGGAAAUGACUCUUUCUUUAGUGGCUUUUUUUUUUUCACAGAUGGAGAGGACUGGUGUGCAGCCCAGUGAUGUCACAUUCAUUGGAGUUUUGUCAGCUUGUAACCAUUCGGGAUUGGUAGAAGAGUGAAUGGUUCAGUUUUCUAGUAUGGCCGACAAACAUGGAUUGUCUCCUAAACUUUAGCAUUGUGCUUGUAUGGUAGAUCUCCUUAGCCAGGAUGGGCAUGGCGAAGAAGCAUAUGAAUUGGACCAGAACACGAUAAUUCCACCUGACUCAAUAAUCUGGGGUGCUUUACUAAGUACUGGUUGCAUCCAUUGGAAUCUAGAACCGACUGAUACAAUCAGUGAAACAAUAAUGGUAUUACAGGAUCCCAAUCUGCAGGAAGGUGGAAGGAUGAGGAGACAGGUAAAAGAGAAAAGGAUCAAAAGGCCUUCUGGUUGUAGUUGGGUUGAAGUUGAUGGUGUUGUUCACAGAUUUGUAAUUGAAGAUACAACUCAUAUGAAAUCUAAGGAGAUCUAUGGCACCUAUGAAAUUCUGGUUAAUCAUUUGAAGGCUGAAGGGUAUGUGCUAAAUUCUGGUUUCUCAUGGAGGGAUUGAUUGAUUCAGUUGAUAGGAGAAGGCAUAAUGGGGAGCCACUGGCAAUUGAGAUGUGGAAGAACUUUCGGAAAUAUGAAUUCUGAGUUUACGAAUUACUGUAUGAGUAUUUUUGUUAUGUCUAGAACAAGUGAUUUCUAGAAGUCUCCAAAUAGAAGAGAUGAAUCAGAGAGAUCACCAUGAAAACUAUUCCAAACUUCAUCUCUUUCACCACUGAUUCAUGGCCAAAGGAUCAGACCUUCAGACACAGGACUUGAAUUGCAUAAGAAGGGCAGUCUGGGAAUAACCCCUUUGAAACACCAUUUGCAGAAUAAUUUAGUCUUAUUCUUGAUGAUAUUAGGACAAACUUGGACAUGAAAUGGAAGCAGGGAUCUUCGCCAAGGUUCACACUCAGAGAAUUAUUCCAUCUCUAAGACUCGGAACCCCAUCAAGACCUCUUGUCAAAUGUUCUCCUGUUUGAUAUCGCUUACCAUUAUAGUCAUCUGCAGUGUCGGAUUUCAUUCGAAUUCUUCAGACAACUCUCUGCAUUCAGCCCAUGGAGAUGACAACCAGAAUUCCAAAGCAGCAGCGAUCAGACCAAUACCCAGAUUCCAAUUGUUGGAUGUGAUGGUCAGCCAUAUGGGGCCCAUCACUACCAAUCUCCUCCCACUUUUGCCACCUCAUCACCUCCAUGCCAUAAUAAAGAAAUACCUUUUGACAAUGCAUGGCCAGUCAGAAUUAGUAAAUUGUAAAGAACUAGGAGACGUUAAUCCAGGUUGUCCAGCUCUGCAGCUUACUGGGAUAUUGUUAGGUGUGAAAAUGAAGUGAAGAACCUAGUCUAAGCUCUCCAAUGUACCCAAAACAGAACUAGCUCCAGAAGCCACUACAGAACUUGUUGAGACAGAAAGCAAUCUACCAAGGCAGAAGGCAAUAUUGGCUAGUGGAUUUGACUCAUUGCCCUUGAAUGGCGUGUAUGAUCAAGGAGAUUACGAGAUGGGUUCACUUGGAGAGUAUUUGACAGGCGGCAUGCAUAGCUGGGACUCCAUGCACAUGAUGUUGGUGGAUAUGGUAGAGAUCGAAAGCUCCAAUUUUCUGGGAUUGGAUAUGGCCAAUGACAAGAGCCCAGCUGGGGGUGAGACAACUCAUUCACAACUUAUGUUCUUCAAACUUCUUGUCCUUUCCCUGCUGGAAAUUUACCUGCAUGAAAAUCCAGGUAAACCCCCGGUUUUGUCAACGUACUCAAACUUGGUUAAGGCAUUUGUUAACGCACACACUGCAAAAGGUAACAAGCAGCUUGGACAGCGCAUAUGGGGAAUUCUGCAUAAGAAAAUUUUCAAAGCAAAGGAAUAUCCAAAGGGUGAGGCUGCAUUAGCAAAAGGAGAGUCCAAAAUUAUCUGAAUCAAGAUUUAGGUGGAUUGAAUUGAUGCUUGGCUCGAGUAUUGAAGAAGGAGAUUAGUUGAGAAGUGCUGUUAUUUAAUUGAAGAAAUUGUAGAUUGGUGAAGCAGAGGAUGAAAUAGCAAAUGGCACUCUUCUUCAGGAGUUCAAAUUACCUUUUGCUGAGUGAGGUUUUGAAACUGUCGAGGUGGUUUUCUAAAUUUGAUUGAAUACGAGAUUCAUAAGAAUGCUAUAGGAGCAGCUAGAAAAUGGGCAGAAAACUGCAUACACAGCUUUUGAUCAAGUUGCUGAAAUUGUGUGAUUAAAGAAACUUACAAGCAUCAGGUCAGGGAAUGGACAAGUAAUCAUGGGUUUGGAGAAUGUUGGCCUCAGAAUGUACACGUGCUCGAAUUCCUCAACUGCUUCAAAUCACUUCCAGGUUUGACUUCAAAAUCUUCCGAAUUCCAAUUCUGUUGAUGGCUGCAUCGAGUUCACAAAAAUGAUAGUACACACCAAAUGAAAAUAGCACCAGACUUGCCUCUAGAUGGUUCCCCAUCAUCCCUGAAUGAUGUUCCUACUGAAUCUACCGAUGGAUCAGGUCUAACUACUAAUGAACCUUCUACUGAUCCUGAGAUUGAAGAAGCUCUGAGAACUGCAGGACUUUUGUCUGAUUCCCCUCCCAACAGUCCACAUCAGGAAGCUAAAGGUCUCAAUGAUGAAGAUGAUCUCUUAAAGGAAAAUAGAGAAGGACUUGAUAAUACAUUUGACAUGGAUUCUCACCUGGAACUGGAUAUAUAUGGUGAUUUUGAGUACGAUUUGGAAGAGUAAUUUUGACAAGGAAUUUGAAGAUAUUGAGGAGUGCCCCACCUAUUACAGUGUAAACCACACCGUGAAUCAUAGCCUUCCUCGCCUUGUUCUCAAGGCCUGCAAACACAAGUUCCAUUCAGCCAGCCUGUGCAAGUGGUCCUCUACUCACAAAUCAGCUUGUCCAUUGUGCCAGGCUCCAUUCUGACCUAAAUUGUUCAAGCAAUGAUGCUUCAAUGGAUAUAACAUUCCUUUCACGGGAAGGAAUACGGGUUGAUGGAGUUAAGUGAGUCACAAUAUAAACUCAUAGCCUAAGCUUCGGUUGGAUUUAAACCUUCUUUGGGUGUAUAUGAAGGCUGUUGAAUAAUCAGCCAUAUGAAAACAGAUACACUGAAUGGGGCCUUUGAUGUUAUCUACUGGUGUUUGUGACAUUAAUUUCAAGCUUAAUGAGUUCAUGAAAUAGGAGUUCGCGAAGAAGAAACAUGUUUCCUUUCAAUGUCAACUUGCCUCCAGGCUAUUAUAUGCUUUGAAGAGAAGUUUCUGGACCAAAGACAUAGAGCUGAAACAAGAGGAAUGUUGGUGAGAGAGGCUUCUAAGAUGGCAUCUGAUUCUUUCAUGGAGUAUGUGCUAGCCCGAAAAUAAGAGAUAAAUUAGUGGCAAUCUCGAAAUGAGCAGGAAUGAUUGGAUUUCGCUGCCAAAGACUGAAUUGUAGAGUUAUGAGCCCUAGUUUGAUUCGUUAAGGAGCUUGGAAAUUGAAGAGAAGAUCAGCAAAGUAAGGUGGUGUGCCAACGCCCAGUGGAUCACUAUUUAUUCUUUCAACAAACAAGACAAUUAAACGUAUGGAACCUGGAAAUCAGUGAUCAAUGUUUUAAUAUCAUGAAACCAUCAAACAGGGGAGAAUCAUCCAACUGUGGCUUCAGUUGUUGUCCGCUUGGCUGAUCUAUACAACAAGGUAGGAAAAUUAAGGGAGUCCAAAUCUUACUAUGAAAAUGCCCUUCGAUUUUAUGGAAAGCCCAAUCCUGGAAUCCCCUCAGAAGAGAUUGCCAGCGGUUUAAUUGAUACUUCAGCUAUCUUUGAACCCAUGAAUGAGCUGGAGCAGGCACUCAAGUUACUUCAGAAAGCCUUAAAGAUAUACGGUAAUGCCCUAGGUUAGCAAAGCACAAUUGCAGGAAUUGAGGCCAGAUCAGGGUCAUAUAUUAUAUGAUGGGAAAUUACUCUGCCUCAUGCAACUCCUGCAGCAGUGCCAUUUCAAAGCUUCGAGCAAGUAGAGAGAGAAAUAAUAAUGUUGACAGCCUGCACUUUCCGUAGAGGACACACGUAUAUAGAAUCUCUACAAACAAGGUGCCGUUUAAGAAGGGCAGGCGAUUGUGCCCCAAUAAUGAGAUUGAAAUUCCUGCUAGUGGUGUUCUUGAAUCGGGUCCUAGUGUCACUUCUUCAAAUCAGAUAGCUGCAAGAAUGUUGAACAUCUAUCCAGAGCCAAGUCAAUCUCUUGCCAGAAUUCAAAGGUCCAAGUCAACGGAGCAGCAUCCAUUAUAGCUAAGGGCAAGGUCAGAUUCUCUCAUAUCUGCCCAAGAUAUUGCUGUGCAGUCCGAGAUAAAUCAUCCCGAAAAGUCGGGGUAUAUCCAUUGCAGACACCUCCAAAGGAAGAUAUAAAUUGGGACAAACUUUAUACAGCUGAAAGACUCUCUAAGUCGGACAGAGUGAAAAAUUUGGGGGGAAUUGUCACUUGAAAAACAAUAAAUUUCCUCUCAAUAAGGAAGACUUCACAGUGCCCGAGGAGCAUGAGGAUUCUCAAGUUGCAUGCUUGGGGGGACUGGUAUUGAAUAAGGUUGGAAACACUUACUCAACAGCUUGUGGGUGAAGGAGCAAAUAAUUACAGGAAGCUGAACUCCUUUCGGAGGUGUUUCUCAGGACAAGAAGCUGCCUCAUCUCCAACUAUAUUCAUUGGUGAAAAUCAUGAAGCAUCCAAUUGCCUACGGAAAGGCACCAUUGCUUACAGGCAUCCUAAAUGCGGCGUGCAGUUGCAUUGAUAAUCCAUCAUAUGACAACACCAUUCUGUAAGUCUUGAAGGUGUUCGCUAUUGCUAUUUCACUCACAGAGCUUAGAGCACACAAGGAACCUUGUUGAAAGUAUUUCGAAUACUCUACAAUGCUGCACUCAACAGCAAAAAACCAUGGGAAUCUCCAUCUAUUGAGGCCACGGGCCAAGUAGCAGCCAUUGGCAGUAAGAUCUCUGAGCAUAGGUCUUUUGAGCUACAACUUGAAGACACCGUGUAGGGCUAGAGAUGUCAAGGAAAACAUCUUUAAUGGAGUCGUGCUGUCAUCAAGUUAGUUUUAAUGGCGACAUCAACAACGCUGGAUAUAGUUGAGUGCUCUUUUUGAAUACAGUAGUAUCUAGGAUCAGAAACUAAUGCUCUUGCCACAAUUACACCUUUGAUUAAUGGAAGUGAGCAUCAAUCGACAAGCUCCCUUAUGCAGGCUGCAGAUAACUGGUUAAGACUGCUGAAGAUGUAAAAGAUAGAGCUCAUGAUGAGCGGGAAAACACAGAAACUAAACUACAGAAGAAUCCAAAAAUGAAUUGUGAGAAAAUAGACAAAUUAGAUGAACUUCUAAGCAAAGACUUGACUUCAUGAUUCCAAAUAAUGAAAUUCACUGAACCAAUUCAUGCAAAAAUAAUUAGGGCUGUGGUGGGGGCCUAACAUCCAUGAUAUUUUCUUCAAUAUUUUUUUUUGUUUGAUAUUUAAUUGAUUGUACUUCCUCUUUGUGAAUACAUGAGAUUAUUUUACACCUACUAUUGAGAUAACCUUGUUCCUCAUUUUAGCACUCAACUCGUUGUCCAGGUACGCUCUCCAUCACCCCAUUUUCCAAAUUCCACGAAUAUCCAUGUGUUUGUGUACUAUGCCCUUGUUUGAUGUUACACUUGAUUGCCUUAAUAUAUGCUUGAUCGUUUGAUUUGCUCUGAUUAAAACAAAUGUUGUGUGUUAUGUGUCUACACUAACUUUGGUGUUUUAUGAUAGUGCUUAAGAAGCAGCCUAGUUAUACACCCUAAAUCUUCUUUAUGAUUAUGAUUGGUUUUUCUUAUUUGGCAUGCUAUUUUUUUAAAAUCACCUAGCUUACCUAGGUAUCUAUAAUCAACCAAUUAAUUGCCCAUUUUCCUCAACUUAGUUAGUAGACACCUUUGUAGGGCUUAGAGGGGUGUUACCUUUUAGAGGUAUCUUCCCAAUAGGUGACCUGAUCCCCGAACCUAGACUUAGGUUUUUCAAAGACAUGCUUUUUCAAAAACUACGAAGUCACUUCUUUAGGGGGUUUUUUUUUGUUUUAUUUUCCCUUUUAAAAUAAAAUAAAAUAAGUGGCAACUCCGACUUUUCCAAAACUAAUUUUUCACCAAUAAAAGCGAGUCUCGCCGAUUGAGUGGGGAAGCACGUGAAAAAUGUGGAUCUACAGUUGUGUAUAACCGAUUGUUUCAACUUGAAUGCAUAUAGGUUAUUGGUUUCUUUGUUGAAUUCUCCGUCCAAACUCUUAUACUUGAAGUGAAGAGUGACUGUGAAGUGUCUGAAGCAAUAGUAACAUCCAUAGCUGAUGGUUAUUUGGACUGAAGCAUGCAUUCAGCGCAUGAUAAACAAAUUCCUUUUGGAACUGGCAGUAUGUUGGGCAUAGAGUUUGCUAAGAGAGGUUCUAAAACUGUUGAGGUGGCUCUCUAUAUUUGAUUGAAUGCGAGACAUCAUAAGAAUGCUGUAGGGGAGCAGAAUGCUGCAAUUCUGGGUAGAUGGGCAACUUUAAUGAUGGACAAUAUGAAGCUGCUGCACAACUUCAUUCUCAAGCUCAGCAGAUUUGUGUUGUUCUAUAUCCUAAGGAUGCUGCAGAAAGUGGAAAGCUUUUGUGAUUGAAGCAAUUUUUUUCUAUGCAGUGCCUCACUUCAGGACAUUACUUCCAGAUUCAAGGAGAGGAAAUAUGGGGGCUUAUGGCAAUGGUCUGAAUUUCCCAACAAGAUAGCAGUACAGUCGAAUGAUAGACAUCCUACCCUUGCAAUUCCAGAAUUGACGCGAUUACUGAUGAACGAUGAAGGACUUGGAUAGGAUGAAGCUUGGGAUAUGACAUCAAAGGUAUCUUCAGUUUGCUCUUGAUGAAUGAAUGGGAAUCACAUACAGGCUUUGUCCUUUUGUCCAGCUAAGAGACCAACUGAUUCAUAAUUCUGGAACAAUACUUAGGUCAUUUGUAUAUCUCAUAUGGAAAUUGAGCUUUUGUGUUCUGGAGAUCAUGUCCCAGGUUUGAGAACCUGCUCAGGUUGGCAUGCGAAGAUCACCAAUCAAAUACCUCUAGAUGGGCUCAUAAUUGGCCUUUGCUCCUAAAUCCAGCAAAAAGAAAGAAAUAUUCAGCAUUUGUUCAGUUCGAUGGUGGCAAAGUCUUUGAAUAUAUCAGAUUUAGGCAUCAUGGGAGGAGCUCUAAAAACUGAGGAUAUGAUUCUUCAACCUUCAGUACUCCAGUUAUCAGAAAUGGCAGCCUGGAGCUUGCAGUUGGUUCAUCAGAAAUGGGAGUGCUAGCUCCGGCAACCUGGCCAUUUGCAAUGGAGAUGCUGCCUUAUAUUAGAAGCCGAUGUCACCUCCAGCAUCACCAAUUCCUUCCCAUGUCCACCUGUCACUCCAGAAUGAUCAACUGAAUGAACUUGUGGUGAAAAAUCAGCAAAUGUCAGCAGUGAAAAGUCAGCAAGUUUCAGCUGAUUAUAUACCAAUGCUCAAAACGAACACUCCUACAGCCCAACUGACAAUCAAGAACAUGUAAUUGGGCAAUUUAAAUGUCAUAUCAAGGAUUGUGAGCACACGAAAUGCUGAUCCACACCAAAGAGAUAGCAAAAUAAUGCUUAUGUUCCCAUAACACAUCCAUACAGUUGGAAUAGGCCAAACGGUCACUCAACCGCUAACUAUUCAGGAAGAUCUUGACAGCUCCAAAAGACAUCAGUAAUGAGCAGAUCAUCCAACUUUGCACCCUCUAUGUGGUGGACCUAGUUCAUAGAAUAGAGAAGAGAGAAGAAGCCUUCAGGAAGAAUAAGAGGAUAGUGGAGCUUGGUGUCUUCUUGGCAGCCACUCUCGAAAGUCCAGAAAUGCAGGAUCCAUCAGAAAGUCUCUAGCUUACUGCCCAUUUUCCUUCACACACGCGACUAAGUUGCUGAAUCCUUUUGACUGAGGGUUAAUUCCUGAUUAUGGGCAAUUUGAUACGCCUGAAGAAUGAGGAUUUAUCCGAGGAACUGGACAUCUGAAAAUCAAUUAAGAUGCGAGCAUGCAGUUGAAGAAAAUUGUUUGUGAGCAAGUUGACAAUAGAAACAGAAUUCAGAUGUUAAUAUAAGGGAAUUUAUUUCUACACAUUCUCAAACCAGAUGUGGACCCAGAAUUCAUAGAAGAGAGAAGAGAUCAUCUUCAGGAACCAAUUUUACCAUAUUCAAUCUGACAAGACAGCGAAGCCGGCACUAUAGUUAAACCUGGUGAUAUUUCCAUAAUUCAUGUUCGUGAAUUGCCUAAGAUUAAGGGAAAAAUUCAAUCAUUGAAGAGCUGCAACUCUUGGUUCUAACUUGUAGCUUGACUUUCGAUAAAAUUGGACAUACUUUCAGACUGAAGUGUCAUAACAGGGUUAUUCAACAUGAAGCUGGUUGUUUCUUAAUUGUUUUCUUGCACACUGAACAUUCUUCCUGGGAAUGAAUAUUCUAAAUUUCUGCAUGAGUUCAUGUCUGCUGUCAAGCAGAACUAUAAAAAAGGGUUAUAUAGUUUAAGGAUUCUGCAAACCAUAAUGCUUUUGAGCUGCUUGCAAGAUACAACACAACUCAUCUUGUCUCCAAUGGUGAUAUACAGGGAACAACAUCUAUGGUUUUUGAGAGGCUUGUUGCCGCACUGAAGCUACCCAGUGGUAUUUUGGCUGAUCACAAAUUUCUAUUCCUUGGUAUUAAGGAAGUAGAGAUUGGGAUAGCAAAGCCUAUAGUCCUUGAGAUAUUGGAAUAGACAAGAUGUCCAUACUCUAAGGCAACAUAUUCCAUUAUAGAUUCCUCAUGCUUCCGGAGCAAACUCAAAUUUACUUUCCAAUUCUCAAUCAGUUAGGGACUGGAAUAUUCAAAUUAUUGAG